AAUAAACCAACUUUUCACUUUUUAUCUAUAAUUUUUAACUCUUCGUUUUAUUCAAAUUUUUUUACGAUUGAUAUUUUUGUUUUUAUUAGAUGAUAAAUCAUGAAUAGUACUGGACAUGUGACUAAUUUUUUUCUAAUUUCUCAAAAAAAUUUUAAAUAAAACGAAUGGUCAAACGGUGGACACAGAAAUCGAAG
This 194-nucleotide microRNA precursor is filed under the name Oryza brachyantha (malo sina). RNAcentral describes it as "MIR812 microRNA precursor family". It matches the Rfam family "MIR812 microRNA precursor family". Lineage: Eukaryota; Viridiplantae; Streptophyta; Magnoliopsida; Poales; Poaceae. The record is from Rfam by way of RNAcentral.